Molecule: ribosomal RNA, 236 nt
Filed under: uncultured Actinomycetales bacterium
Lineage: Bacteria; Bacillati; Actinomycetota; Actinomycetes; Actinomycetales
Description: partial 16S ribosomal RNA
Rfam family: Bacterial small subunit ribosomal RNA
Source: RNAcentral
UGGCGAACGGGUGGGUAACACGUGGGUAAUCUGCCCUGCACUCUGGGAUAAGCCUGGGAAACUGGGUCUAAUACUGGAUAUGACCUUUCUCCUUAUGGGGUUUGGUGGAAAGUUUUUCGGUGUAGGAUGAGCCCGCGGCCUAUCAGCUUGUUGGUGGGGUGAUGGCCUACCAAGGCGACGACGGGUAGCCGGCCUGAGAGGGUGAUCGGCCACAUUGGGACUGAGAUACGGCCCAG